RNAcentral lists this ribosomal RNA (126 nucleotides) under Stachybotryaceae sp. Its description in RNAcentral is "Stachybotriaceae sp. partial large subunit ribosomal RNA". It matches the Rfam family "Eukaryotic large subunit ribosomal RNA", at positions 99 to 229 of the family's 3401-position model. Lineage: Eukaryota; Fungi; Ascomycota; Sordariomycetes; Hypocreales; Stachybotryaceae. The record is from RNAcentral.
CGGCAACAGCUCAAAUUUGAAAUCUGGCCCUAGGCCCGAGUUGUAAUUUGCAGAGGAUGCUUUUGAUGAGGUGCCUUCCGAGUUCCCUGGAACGGGACGCCAUAGAGGGUGAGAGCCCCGUCUGGU